RNAcentral lists this ribosomal RNA (557 nucleotides) under Pseudomonas sp. A-7. Its description in RNAcentral is "bacterial SSU rRNA". It matches the Rfam family "Bacterial small subunit ribosomal RNA", at positions 28 to 579 of the family's 1533-position model. The record is from RNAcentral. Lineage: Bacteria; Pseudomonadati; Pseudomonadota; Gammaproteobacteria; Pseudomonadales; Pseudomonadaceae.
AUGGUGGGUUGGCGGCGGGCCUAACACAUGCAAGUCGAGCGGUAGAGAGUAGCUUGCUACUCUUGAGAGCGGCGGACGGGUGAGUAAUGCCUAGGAAUCUGCCUAGUGGUGGGGGAUAACGUUCGGAAACGGACGCUAAUACCGCAUACGUCCUACGGGAGAAAGCGGGGGACCUUCGGGCCUCGCGCCAUUAGAUGAGCCUAGGUCGGAUUAGCUAGUUGGUGAGGUAAUGGCUCACCAAGGCUACGAUCCGUAACUGGUCUGAGAGGAUGAUCAGUCACACUGGAACUGAGACACGGUCCAGACUCCUACGGGAGGCAGCAGUGGGGAAUAUUGGACAAUGGGCGAAAGCCUGAUCCAGCCAUGCCGCGUGUGUGAAGAAGGUCUUCGGAUUGUAAAGCACUUUAAGUUGGGAGGAAGGGUAGUAACUUAAUACGUUGCUACUUUGACGUUACCGACAGAAUAAGCACCGGCUAACUUUCGUGCCAGCAGCCGCGGUAAUACGAAGGGUGCGAGCGUUAGUCGGAAUUACUGGGCGUCAAGCGCGCGUAGGUGGU